This 292-nucleotide long non-coding RNA is filed under the name Elaeis guineensis (African oil palm). RNAcentral describes it as "long non-coding RNA (EGUI_LNC027891)". The record is from RNAcentral. Lineage: Eukaryota; Viridiplantae; Streptophyta; Magnoliopsida; Arecales; Arecaceae.
AGUGGUCAAAAAUCAGAUCCAAAGGGUUGGAUCUAAGAGAUCAAAUAUCAGAUCUAAAGAAUGGUUCCUAAAGUUCAAAUGUUGGAUAGCAAGAGGACUGAGAGACAUGAUGAUUAAUAUAUCCAAGAGAGGAAAGAAAGGAGAGAGAGAAUUAUCAAGAGUUGGUAAUGCAGGAUAGGAGCAGCUGUUGAAAUUCUUAAGAAGAAAAUUCAGUGAAUCCAGAUUAAGAAGAGUCCUAGAUCGAGAUCUAUAUGGAUCACCAUUGGAGGGCAUACGCUUGAGUUCCUCGAGG